GCUGGCUUCUUCCCCAGCCGCUCCUUCUCAUCUCUCCCUCUACGGUCGAGCUCCCAGCCUGCACUUCGGUUCUCUGCGUGUGGCUUCGCUCCUGGAGCAAAAAUCCGCCGCCCCUGCGCAGAUUUUUCCAGCGUCUAUAUCUCUGUGCGCAGGUCCAAGCCACCGUUCAGCUCGAGAGAAAAAUCCUACCGUGCUCGAUUCUUCCCUGCGCGUCUCCUCCGCUUGGAGCUUCCUGCGCUCCCUGCGUCCCUCUGUGGCCGGAACUCCCUUCAUGGCCGGAGCUCGGACGGCGCUCGGUCCUGCCGCCUGCCCCAACGUCGACUAUCUCCAGCUCGCCCCCGACCCUUCUCUCCCUGUCGCGUCGCUCUCUCUCUGCUCGCUCUCCUCCAUGGCCGCCGUGGGCUCGCCGGCGU
Molecule: unclassified non-coding RNA, 413 nt
Filed under: Zea mays
Lineage: Eukaryota; Viridiplantae; Streptophyta; Magnoliopsida; Poales; Poaceae
Description: misc RNA Zm00001eb438660
Source: RNAcentral